Molecule: long non-coding RNA, 690 nt
Filed under: Equus caballus (horse)
Lineage: Eukaryota; Metazoa; Chordata; Mammalia; Perissodactyla; Equidae
Description: lncRNA (ENSECAG00000045124.1)
Source: RNAcentral
GUUUCAUCCUUCUGGCACCCCGGUGAGGUGCGGCCUGUCGGGCUGUUUGUCAUAGACGCACCCGCCUUAAGACAAGCAUCUUGGCAACUUCCUAGACUCUCUUUCGAGGUGCUUCCAAGUUUGACGCGUGGCUAACAGUCCAUUGUGUCUGUGUCAAAGUGCCAGGAGGAUUGAUGAGAUGAUGUUGGCAAAGCUGAGCGCGAUAAAGACACUCCUUUCUGUUCUGAAACCUUAUUAGGAUACCGAGAGUUCUUUCAAUCCAGAAUCCGCUGGGGAAAACUGGUCAUGCUGCAGCCUUGUAAACGACCAGCCUGUUCCCAUUUCCUGCCCAGAGCCGGCUCUCAGCAGAAAGCGGUGGGGGUUAGUCACGUCUUCCCGGCUGUGCGCAGUCCUCAGGGGAGGGCACCUCCACAGAAUUCCAGGCUUUCUGAACUCGCUGUGGUUACAUCUUUGAACUUGUUAAGAAACAUAUGAUUGCAAACUGGCUUUGAAAAGUAAUGCCGAUGGGCAAGUCAUCCAGAAAGGCUAAGACCCUUAUUCUGGGAAAUUCUCUGCUUUCCUGGGAAGAAAACUGCUGCAGUGAAUGACGAUGAGGUGAAACAAAACCAAAGGAAUGAAGACCUUUCCAUCCCCUGUGCUGCUUCCGCCCGUUUUUUGGAAGCUCAGUCUCAGAGGUUGUUGGGAGCCUGC